Molecule: small nuclear RNA, 324 nt
Filed under: Neogale vison (American mink)
Lineage: Eukaryota; Metazoa; Chordata; Mammalia; Carnivora; Mustelidae
Description: Neovison vison (American mink) 7SK RNA (ENSNVIG00000000996.1)
Rfam family: 7SK RNA
About the family: 7SK was discovered as an abundant small nuclear RNA in the mid-70s but a possible function has only recently been suggested. Two independent studies have found that 7SK RNA binds the CDK9/cyclin T complex (known as elongation factor P-TEFb). P-TEFb activates transcription by phosphorylating the C-terminal domain of RNA polymerase II.
Source: Rfam by way of RNAcentral
GGAUGUAAGGGUGAUCUAGCUGUGACAUGUCACCCCAUUGAUAACCAGGGUUGAUUUGGCUGAUGUAGCUGGCUAGGCGGGUGCCCAUUCCUCCCUCACUACUCCAUGUGGGUCCCUCCCAAAGUUGCGUGGUCUGGCCAAGAGGAUGACCUUGCUGGAUAGAGGAAGACCAUUCUUUGGUCAAGGGCAUAUGAGUAGCUUCACUCUCCUGCUAGAACCUAAGUGUGCUCUCAAGGUCCACUUCUGGUGAUUGUAAGGUAGUCAACUUCCAAGACUUCACACAUAUCCAAAUGAGGCACUGCAUGUGGUAGUCUGCCAUUCUUU